UAAGGAAUAUUGGUCAAUGGACGCAAGUCUGAACCAGCCAUGCCGCGUGGAGGAUUAAGGCCCUCUGGGUUGUAAACUCCUUUUAUCUGGGAAGAAAUGUACUUUUUCUUGAGUACUUGACGGUACCAGAGGAAUAAGCACCGGCUAACUCCGUGCCAGCAGCCGCGGUAAUACGGAGGGUGCAAGCGUUAUCCGGAUUCACUGGGUUUAAAGGGUGCGUAGGUGGGCAGGUAAGUCAGUGGUGAAAUCUCCGGGCUUAACCCGGAAACUGCCGUUGAUACUAUUGGUCUUGAAUAUUGUGGAGGUAAGCGGAAUAUGUCAUGUAGCGGUGAAAUGCUUAGAUAUGACACAGAACACCGAUUGCGAAGGCAGCUUGCUAAGCUGUAACUGACGCUGAGGCACGAAAGCGUGGGGAGCAAACA
RNAcentral lists this ribosomal RNA (422 nucleotides) under uncultured bacterium. RNAcentral's name for it is "bacterial SSU rRNA". It matches the Rfam family "Bacterial small subunit ribosomal RNA", at positions 355 to 774 of the family's 1533-position model. The record is from RNAcentral.